GACAGUGCUUCCUCGUUAGGGUGACCUGCGGAAGGAUCAUUGUCGAA
This 47-nucleotide ribosomal RNA is filed under the name Tecomella undulata. Its description in RNAcentral is "partial 18S ribosomal RNA". The record is from RNAcentral. Lineage: Eukaryota; Viridiplantae; Streptophyta; Magnoliopsida; Lamiales; Bignoniaceae.